RNAcentral lists this ribosomal RNA (415 nucleotides) under uncultured Surirella. RNAcentral describes it as "SSU rRNA". It matches the Rfam family "Eukaryotic small subunit ribosomal RNA", at positions 567 to 990 of the family's 1831-position model. The record is from RNAcentral. Lineage: Eukaryota; Bacillariophyta; Bacillariophyceae; Surirellales; Surirellaceae.
CCAGCACCCGCGGUAAUUCCAGCUCCAAUAGCGUAUAUUAAAGUUGUUGCAGUUAAAAAGCUCGUAGUUGGACCUGUGCAUGUCCCUAGGUGUCCAUAUUGUUUGGUACGUUCUAGGGCGUGCAUCCUUGGGUGGAACCUGUGUGGCAUUAGGUUGUCGUGCAGGGGAUGCUCAUCGUUUACUGUGAAAAAAUUAGAGUGUUCAAAGCAGGCUUAUGCCGUUGAAUAUAUUAGCAUGGAAUAAUAAGAUAGGACCUUGGUACUAUUUUGUUGGUUUGCGCACCGAGGUAAUGAUUAACAGGGACAGUUGGGGGUAUUCGUAUUCCAUUGUCAGAGGUGAAAUUCUUGGAUUUUUGGAAGACGAACUACUGCGAAAGCAUUUACCAAGGAUGUUUUCAUUAAUCAAGAACGAAAGU